Molecule: ribosomal RNA, 403 nt
Filed under: uncultured Nocardioides sp.
Lineage: Bacteria; Bacillati; Actinomycetota; Actinomycetes; Propionibacteriales; Nocardioidaceae
Description: bacterial SSU rRNA
Rfam family: Bacterial small subunit ribosomal RNA
Source: RNAcentral
UGGGAAGUAUUGGACAAUGGCGAAGCUGAUCCAGCAAUGCCGCGUGAGGGAUGACGGCCUUCGGGUUGUAAACCUCUUUCGGUAGGGACGAAGCGCGAGUGACGGUACCUACUAAAGAAGCACCGGCCAACUACGUGCCAGCAGCCGCGGUAAUACGUAGGGUGCGAGCGUUGUCCGGAAUUAUUGGGCGUAAAGGGCUCGUAGGCGGUUUGUCGCGUCGGGAGUGAAAACCAGGUGCUUAACACCUGGCUUGCUUUCGAUACGGGCAGACUAGAGGUAUGCAGGGGAGAACGGAAUUCCUGGUGUAGCGGUGAAAUGCGCAGAUAUCGGGAGGAACACCGGUGGCGAAGGCGGUUCUCUGGGCAUGACCUGACGCUGAGGAGCGAAAGUGUGGGAGCGAACA